GGGUUGUGAGGUUAAGCGACUAAGCGUACACGGUGGAUGCCCUGGCAGUCAGAGGCGAUGAAGGACGUGCUAAUCUGCGAUAAGCGUCGGUAAGGUGAUAUGAACCGUUAUAACCGGCGAUUUCCGAAUGGGGAAACCCAGUGUGUUUCGACACACUAUCAUUAACUGAAUCCAUAGGUUAAUGAGGCGAACCGGGGGAACUGAAACAUCUAAGUACCCCGAGGAAAAGAAAUCAACCGAGAUUCCCCCAGUAGCGGCGAGCGAACGGGGAGCAGCCCAGAGCCUGAAUCAGUGUGUGUGUUAGUGGAAGCGUCUGGAAAGGCGCGCGAUACAGGGUGACAGCCCCGUACACAAAAAUGCACAUAUUGUGAGCUCGAUGAGUAGGGCGGGACACGUGGUAUCCUGUCUGAAUAUGGGGGGACCAUCCUCCAAGGCUAAAUACUCCUGACUGACCGAUAGUGAACCAGUACCGUGAGGGAAAGGCGAAAAGAACCCCGGCGAGGGGAGUGAAAAAGAACCUGAAACCGUGUACGUACAAGCAGUGGGAGCACGCUUAGGCGUGUGACUGCGUACCUUUUGUAUAAUGGGUCAGCGACUUAUAUUCUGUAGCAAGGUUAACCGAAUAGGGGAGCCGAAGGGAAACCGAGUCUUAACUGGGCGUUAAGUUGCAGGGUAUAGACCCGAAACCCGGUGAUCUAGCCAUGGGCAGGUUGAAGGUUGGGUAACACUAACUGGAGGACCGAACCGACUAAUGUUGAAAAAUUAGCGGAUGACUUGUGGCUGGGGGUGAAAGGCCAAUCAAACCGGGAGAUAGCUGGUUCUCCCCGAAAGCUAUUUAGGUAGCGCCUCGUGAAUUCAUCUCCGGGGGUAGAGCACUGUUUCGGCAAGGGGGUCAUCCCGACUUACCAACCCGAUGCAAACUGCGAAUACCGGAGAAUGUUAUCACGGGAGACACACGGCGGGUGCUAACGUCCGUCGUGAAGAGGGAAACAACCCAGACCGCCAGCUAAGGUCCCAAAGUCAUGGUUAAGUGGGAAACGAUGUGGGAAGGCCCAGACAGCCAGGAUGUUGGCUUAGAAGCAGCCAUCAUUUAAAGAAAGCGUAAUAGCUCACUGGUCGAGUCGGCCUGCGCGGAAGAUGUAACGGGGCUAAACCAUGCACCGAAGCUGCGGCAGCGACGCUUAUGCGUUGUUGGGUAGGGGAGCGUUCUGUAAGCCUGCGAAGGUGUGCUGUGAGGCAUGCUGGAGGUAUCAGAAGUGCGAAUGCUGACAUAAGUAACGAUAAAGCGGGUGAAAAGCCCGCUCGCCGGAAGACCAAGGGUUCCUGUCCAACGUUAAUCGGGGCAGGGUGAGUCGACCCCUAAGGCGAGGCCGAAAGGCGUAGUCGAUGGGAAACAGGUUAAUAUUCCUGUACUUGGUGUUACUGCGAAGGGGGGACGGAGAAGGCUAUGUUGGCCGGGCGACGGUUGUCCCGGUUUAAGCGUGUAGGCUGGUUUUCCAGGCAAAUCCGGAAAAUCAAGGCUGAGGCGUGAUGACGAGGCACUACGGUGCUGAAGCAACAAAUGCCCUGCUUCCAGGAAAAGCCUCUAAGCAUCAGGUAACAUCAAAUCGUACCCCAAACCGACACAGGUGGUCAGGUAGAGAAUACCAAGGCGCUUGAGAGAACUCGGGUGAAGGAACUAGGCAAAAUGGUGCCGUAACUUCGGGAGAAGGCACGCUGAUAUGUAGGUGAAGUCCCUUGCGGAUGGAGCUGAAAUCAGUCGAAGAUACCAGCUGGCUGCAACUGUUUAUUAAAAACACAGCACUGUGCAAACACGAAAGUGGACGUAUACGGUGUGACGCCUGCCCGGUGCCGGAAGGUUAAUUGAUGGGGUUAGCGCAAGCGAAGCUCUUGAUCGAAGCCCCGGUAAACGGCGGCCGUAACUAUAACGGUCCUAAGGUAGCGAAAUUCCUUGUCGGGUAAGUUCCGACCUGCACGAAUGGCGUAAUGAUGGCCAGGCUGUCUCCACCCGAGACUCAGUGAAAUUGAACUCGCUGUGAAGAUGCAGUGUACCCGCGGCAAGACGGAAAGACCCCGUGAACCUUUACUAUAGCUUGACACUGAACAUUGAGCCUUGAUGUGUAGGAUAGGUGGGAGGCUUUGAAGUGUGGACGCCAGUCUGCAUGGAGCCGACCUUGAAAUACCACCCUUUAAUGUUUGAUGUUCUAACGU
This 2211-nucleotide ribosomal RNA is filed under the name Escherichia coli. Its description in RNAcentral is "partial 23S ribosomal RNA". It matches the Rfam family "Bacterial large subunit ribosomal RNA", at positions 1 to 2228 of the family's 2925-position model. The record is from RNAcentral. Lineage: Bacteria; Pseudomonadati; Pseudomonadota; Gammaproteobacteria; Enterobacterales; Enterobacteriaceae.